RNAcentral lists this ribosomal RNA (770 nucleotides) under Bacillus sp. M6.p1. RNAcentral's name for it is "partial 16S ribosomal RNA". The stretch from base 1 to 515 matches the Rfam family "Bacterial small subunit ribosomal RNA", at positions 57 to 546 of the family's 1533-position model. Lineage: Bacteria; Bacillati; Bacillota; Bacilli; Caryophanales; Bacillaceae. The record is from RNAcentral.
GCACAGCAGUCGAGAUGCAGAGCAUCAUAAAGACAGUUUCCUUGUGUAGACAGUGUAUACGUGCCGUGCAAUCGGGUGAAGUAACACAGUGGGAAACUGCCCUGUAGAGCGUGGAUAAAGCCGAGGAAAUCGGUGCUAUACGGAUGAUUAGCGAAAUGAUCGCAUGGUCUUGUCCGUUGAAUGGCGGAUAGUGUCCGCUAGAGUGAUGGGCCUGCGGCAUUAGCAGUUGGUGAGGUAACUGCUCCCAGGGCUGAGAUGCGUAGCGACCUGAUGAGGCUGACCGCCACACUGGGAAUGAGACAUGGCCCAGAUCCCACGGGAGGCAGCCGUAGGGAUUCUUCCGCAUGGACGAUAAGUUUGACGGAGCAAACGCGGGUGAGCAAAGAAGGCUUCGGGUCGUUAAGCUCUCGUCUGUUAGGAAGCACAGUACCGCAGUAUUGGCGAACCUGAAGGACUAAAAGAAGCACCCGAUAAUUAAUGCCACGACCCCGAAAUAGAUAGUGGAAGAGCUGUCCGGAUAUUAGGCUAAAGUGCGCGGGCGUCCUAAGCUGCCUGGAAGCCACGUCCCGUGGAGGCUCAAAUGGGCUUGCUGAGAAGGACGUCUCUCCGGUUGGAAAUCCUCUGAUUGUGGGCACUGGAAGAGUGCUCGUUAUAUCUGGGCGUUGGUAAAUGUUGAUACUCGUGUCUCCCACAUUUUUUGUAGGAUCCUGGGUGGGAAUUAUCUCUGGGGCGGGAAUAAGAUGAGAGGGGGGUUAUAAAAAUAAGUUGUG